CAGUAGCCACGGGAAUACGGAGGGAGCUAGCGUUGUUCGGAAUUACUGGGCGUAAAGCGCGCGUAGGCGGUUAUUUAAGUCAGGGGUGAAAGCCCGGUGCUCAACACCGGAACAGCCCUUGAGACUGGAUAACUUGAAUCCAGGAGAGGUGAGUGGAAUUCCGAGUGUAGAGGUGAAAUUCGUAGAUAUUCGGAAGAACACCAGAGGCGAAGGCGACUGACUGGACAAGUAUUGACGCUGAGGUGCGAAAGCGUGGGGAGCAAACAGGAUUAGAUACCCCAUAGUCCCUGUCUCUUAUACA
RNAcentral lists this ribosomal RNA (301 nucleotides) under uncultured bacterium. RNAcentral describes it as "partial 16S ribosomal RNA". It matches the Rfam family "Bacterial small subunit ribosomal RNA", at positions 509 to 808 of the family's 1533-position model. The record is from RNAcentral.